UCUUUGUUGCAUUGAUUCAUAUCGAGAUUGUGUAAUUGCUAAUAUAGCUUUUCCCAACAACAAUUUAAGCAUAAUAGCCAUGAAAAAUAGAAAGGCAAUUCCUGAUUUACCUCUUACAACUGAAAGUAGUAAUGUCUCCCAAGAAGCUUCUUUUCCUGCAUUAUAAGUAUUGGCUUCUUUAUUCGGAAGAUAAUAGACAUAAUUAUCCUUAGUAGGAAAAAUAGUGCCGAUAGAUUUAGCAAUUUCUUGUUUCAUUGAAUGGGUUGAACGAAACAUGCUCCAAGUUUGCAUGGAAGUUCGAAUAAAAACGCAAACUAAUGGUAAAACUGGAAGACCCAUUCUUCUAGCCACCUGUUGAGAACACCCCGUCACCGUCUUUACCAAUGUUAGUGUUAUUGUCAAAAAUGAUAAUUAGUGUAUUAUAACUUACCUGGGUUAGUUGAGCACCCGAAGCAACAUAAUCAUGACACAGAACAUCAGUAAAACGCGAAUAUAUCGAAGGUUUUAUAUAAUUGAACUUUAUUAUAAACGCAUGCUUGAGCCAAUCGACGAACAGUUCAGAACCUAUAACCCAAAAAAAUGGUGCCAACAAGGUCUUAAGCCUUUUAAAAGUUAAGAGGGGUUGAUCUAACGAAGAAGUCGUGUACAGUUCUGCAAGAUUUCUCAAAAAUAUUAUGAUAACCAUAAUGGUAAUCUGAAAACGUUCGACUACGUCUAAAAUUAAAGUUAGAUGAUUUAAGCUAAUUACAAAAUUACUUACCAGAGCAAGUAAGUUGAAAGAGGUUUUCUUUUUCAAAUUUUUUGAAAACUGCCCCUUUAAUUUCAACUAACUGAUUUGACAUUAAAAGUGCAAGGACAGCAUUUGAAUAUGAAUUCACUGUAACAUUUAGGGUGAUGAUUUGAUACAGAAGAACCAAUGUAUGUAAAACCAUGUACGCUAGAGAAAUUGCAAAAUAAUAGAAAAAUGUCAUCCAGCCAGCUGGAUUCCAAAAAUUGAAAGAAAGAAUAUGAUUAGAGAACAAACAGUCAAGAACAUCCUGACCCAAAGCGCAACACAAUCUGUCCGCAAUUUCUAAGACAUUAUACAAAACAUAAAAUCGUAUACUAGCCUGAGCACGUAUAAUAUGGUAAAGCCGACUAACGUCAAUUUUUCGAAUGAGAAUACUAGUAGAGAAUAUUAAAAGAAGUUUUAAGAGAUCAAUUUUUCGGCUCCUAGGUAAUGAUCGGUUUGGUGAGCUAUUACGAUGGAAAAAAGUUGAAAAUAAACCCUGAAAAAUGCAACGGCUUAGGGUAAAAAAAGAUAUUAAGACCCGAAUGGGAAAUAAUGUAAAAAUAUAAAGGAAGCUGUCGACACUAACAAACCAUCCAAAUAAAAAUGUCUUUUCAAUUGCAUAUGGUGUAGCCAGAAAGUUUUCAACAUGCUUUUCUUUAAUAGGAUUUGCGGGCACAGUAUCAUUAGCCAAAAGCUCAAAGC
This is a non-coding RNA of Schizosaccharomyces pombe (fission yeast), 1474 nucleotides long. NCBI's taxonomy places the organism in Eukaryota, Fungi, Ascomycota, Schizosaccharomycetes, Schizosaccharomycetales, Schizosaccharomycetaceae. The record is from the annotation of a GenBank genome assembly.